Molecule: non-coding RNA, 281 nt
Organism: Cinara cedri
Lineage: Eukaryota; Metazoa; Arthropoda; Insecta; Hemiptera; Aphididae
Source: the annotation of a GenBank genome assembly
CGCGACGAAGAGCCGCCCGCGAGGCGGCAAUGGCUGUGACGACCGCGGUGCCGGUCCGGUGGGACGGCCCACUCGUUAUCGCGACGCGUCCUGUCCGACGACCGCCCGUGCAAAUGAUGCGCAAUCGCGUUAACAAACAAUCGGGGCUGUGAAUUCAACGCGUUCGGGAAACGAUUAAACACGCGCGCUAAAAACCGACGAAAUCAACGUUGCCGAAAUAAACUUAAACUUGUACAAUUACCGAUUUUUCAAUAAAAAAAAAAAAAAAAAAAAAAAAAAAA